CCUACGGGCGGCUGCAGUGGGGAAUCUUGCGCAAUGGGCGAAAGCCUGACGCAGCGACGCCGCGUGGGUGACGAAGGCCUUCGGGUCGUAAAACCCUGUUGCAGGGGACGAAGGAAGUGACGGUACCCUGCCAGAAAGCCCCGGCUAACUACGUGCCAGCAGCCGCGGUAAAACGUAGGGGGCGAGCGUUGUCCGGAAUUACUGGGCGUAAAGGGCUCGUAGGCGGUAACUCAAGUCAGUUGUGAAAACCGACGGCUUAACCGGAGGAUUGCAGUUGAUACUGGGUUACUUGAGGCAAGGAGAGGAAGGUGGAAUUCCCGGUGUAGCGGUGAUAUGCGUAGAUAUCGGGAGGAACCCCAGUGGCGAAGGCGGCCUUCUGGUCUUGACCUGACGCUGAGGAGCGAAAGCCAGGGUAGCGAACGGGCUUAGAUACCCCGGUAGUC
This 443-nucleotide ribosomal RNA is filed under the name uncultured Syntrophaceticus sp. Its description in RNAcentral is "bacterial SSU rRNA". It matches the Rfam family "Bacterial small subunit ribosomal RNA", at positions 338 to 795 of the family's 1533-position model. The record is from RNAcentral. Lineage: Bacteria; Bacillati; Bacillota; Clostridia; Thermoanaerobacterales; Thermoanaerobacterales Family III. Incertae Sedis.